This 487-nucleotide long non-coding RNA is filed under the name Rattus norvegicus (Norway rat). RNAcentral's name for it is "long non-coding RNA NONRATT029909". The record is from RNAcentral. Lineage: Eukaryota; Metazoa; Chordata; Mammalia; Rodentia; Muridae.
CUGUCACCUCUGCAGCAGAAUUUGUUGAAGUUUUGUCUCUCUCUCCGUUCCUACUCAGCCUCAAUUCAAGCCUUCCAGCAGAUAGCAGUCGACGAGCCUCCACCAGAAGGAUGCAAGUCAUUUCUCUCAGUGCAUGGAAAGCAGACUUGUGAUCUGGGCACUCUUGAGAGCCUUCUGCUGACUGCACCUGACAGACCUAAACCUUUAUUGUUCAAAGGAGAUCACAGAUAUCCCUCAUCAAAUCCUGAAAGUCCAGUGGUCAUUUUUUAUUCUGAGAUUGGCCAUGAAGAAUUUUCUAAUAUUCACCACCAACUUAUAUCAAAAAGCAAUGAAGGAAAAAUUAAUUAUGUGUUCAGACAUUAUAUAUCUGUAAGUAUUGACUUAUUUUAUAAUUUCUUGAAUAUUAAUUUGUUUAAAGUGACCUUAGAAGAUUCUUUUCCUAUUUAAAAAUAAUUUAAUUUGAAAUUCUUUUUUUUUGAUAAGUUCA